Molecule: ribosomal RNA, 464 nt
Filed under: uncultured bacterium
Lineage: Bacteria
Description: partial 16S ribosomal RNA
Rfam family: Bacterial small subunit ribosomal RNA
Source: RNAcentral
CCUACGGGUGGCAGCAGUGGGGAAUUUUGCGCAAUGCUCGUAAGAGUGACGCAGCGACGCCGCGUGAAUGACGAAGGCCUUCGGGUCGUAAAGUUCUUUCGACAGGGAAGAAAAUGCCUAUAAGUAACUGUGUAUGUAUUGACGGUACCUGUAUAAGCAGCCCCGGCUAACUCCGUGCCAGCAGCCGCGGUAAUACGGAGGAUGCGAGCGUUAUCCGGAUUUAUUGGGUUUAAAGGGUGCGUAGGCGGACUGUUAAGUCAGCGGUAAAAGCCCGGGGCUCAACCCCGGCGAGCCGUUGAAACUGGCUGUCUUGAGAUGUCGAGAGGUAUGCGGAAUGCGCAGUGUAGCGGUGAAAUGCUUAGAUAUUGCGCAGAACUCCGAUUGCGAAGGCAGCAUACCGGCGGCGAUCUGACGCUGAGGCACGAAAGCGUGGGUAUCGAACAGGAUUAGAUACCCGUGUAGUC